AGGACGAACGCUGGCGGCGUGCUUAACACAUGCAAGUCGAGCGGAAAGGCCCUUCGGGGUACUCGAGCGGCGAACGGGUGAGUAACACGUGAGCAACCUGCCCCUGGCUCUGGGAUAGCCUUCGGAAACGGGGAUUAAUACCGGAUAUUCACUGCUUCCUGCAUGGGGGGUGGUGGAAAGUUUUUCGGCUGGGGUGGGCUCGCGGCCUAUCAGCUUGUUGGGGGGGUGACGGCCCACCAAGGCGACGACGGGUAGCCGGCCUGAGAGGGCGACCGGCCACACUGGGACUGAGACACGGCCCAGACUCCUACGGGAGGCAGCAGUGGGGAAUAUUGGACAAUGGGCGCAAGCCUGAUCCAGCCAUGCCGCGUGAGUGAUGAAGGCCCUAGGGUUGUAAAGCUCUUUUGUGCGGGAAGAUAAUGACGGUACCGCAAGAAUAAGCCCGGCUAACUUCGCGCCAGCAGCCGC
RNAcentral lists this ribosomal RNA (468 nucleotides) under uncultured bacterium. Its description in RNAcentral is "SSU rRNA". It matches the Rfam family "Bacterial small subunit ribosomal RNA", at positions 26 to 518 of the family's 1533-position model. The record is from RNAcentral.